UGCAUUGAUGGAAUUUGG
This 18-nucleotide unclassified non-coding RNA is filed under the name Mus musculus (house mouse). Its description in RNAcentral is "oocyte_clustered_small_RNA3904". The record is from RNAcentral. Lineage: Eukaryota; Metazoa; Chordata; Mammalia; Rodentia; Muridae.